GUGCUCACUUCAGCAGCACAUAUACUAAAAUUGGAAGGAUACAGAAAAGAUUAGCAUGGCUCCUGCAUAAGCAUGCCACACAAAUUCAUGAAGAGUUCCAUAUUGUU
Molecule: small nuclear RNA, 107 nt
Organism: Aotus nancymaae (Ma's night monkey)
Lineage: Eukaryota; Metazoa; Chordata; Mammalia; Primates; Aotidae
Source: Ensembl